This 229-nucleotide ribosomal RNA is filed under the name uncultured bacterium. RNAcentral's name for it is "partial 16S ribosomal RNA". It matches the Rfam family "Bacterial small subunit ribosomal RNA", at positions 27 to 247 of the family's 1533-position model. The record is from RNAcentral.
GAUUGAACGCUGGCGGCAUGCCUUACACAUGCCAAGUCGAACGGCAGCACGGGGGCAACCCUGGUGGCGAGUGGCGAACGGGUGAGGUAAUGCAUCGGAACGUGUCCUCUUGUGGGGGAUAACCAGUCGAAAGAUUGGCUAAUACCGCAUGAGAUCGAGAGAUGAAAGCGGGGGACCCGAGGGUAACUUCGGGCCUCGCGCGAGAGGAGCGGCCGAUGCCGGAUAGCUA